Catenovulum agarivorans DS-2 is the source of this 73-nucleotide transfer RNA. It matches the Rfam family "tRNA". From Rfam's summary of the family: Transfer RNA (tRNA) molecules are approximately 80 nucleotides in length. The record is from Rfam. NCBI's taxonomy places the organism in Bacteria, Pseudomonadati, Pseudomonadota, Gammaproteobacteria, Alteromonadales, Alteromonadaceae.
GGACGUUUAGCUCAGUUGGGAGAGCAUCGCCCUUACAAGGCGAGGGUCACUGGUUCAAGUCCAGUAACGUCCA